AGAGUUUGAUCCUGGCUCAGAUUGAACGCUGGCGGCAUGCCUUACACAUGCAAGUCGAACGGCAGCACGGGAGCAAUCCUGGUGGCGAGUGGCGAACGGGUGAGUAAUGUAUCGGAACGUACCUUUCAGUGGGGGAUAACGUAGCGAAAGUUACGCUAAUACCGCAUAUUCUGUGAGCAGGAAAGCAGGGGAUCGCAAGACCUUGCGCUGAUUGAGCGGCCGAUAUCAGAUUAGCUAGUUGGUGAGGUAAAGGCUCACCAAGGCGACGAUCUGUAGCGGGUCUGAGAGGAUGAUCCGCCACACUGGAACUGAGACACGGUCCAGACUCCUACGGGAGGCAGCAGUGGGGAAUUUUGGACAAUGGGGGCAA
RNAcentral lists this ribosomal RNA (370 nucleotides) under uncultured bacterium. RNAcentral's name for it is "bacterial SSU rRNA". It matches the Rfam family "Bacterial small subunit ribosomal RNA", at positions 8 to 380 of the family's 1533-position model. The record is from RNAcentral.